Molecule: ribosomal RNA, 705 nt
Filed under: Marchandiomyces lignicola
Lineage: Eukaryota; Fungi; Basidiomycota; Agaricomycetes; Corticiales; Corticiaceae
Description: partial 12S small subunit ribosomal RNA
Rfam family: Bacterial small subunit ribosomal RNA
Source: RNAcentral
CAACAUGUCAAAUUGGCAUCGUAGGUGAAUACUAAGGGAAAAUCAUGAUUGAACCUUACGAAUAGUGCUGUCCAAAGCUGGUGCCAGAAGACUCGGUAAGGCCAGGGGCGCAAACGUUAGUCGUCUUAAUAAGGCGUAAAGGGUUCGUAGGCAGCUCAUAAAGUUAUAAAUUUAUUAUUAGUCUUAAUUAUAUAGAAAAUAAUACAAAGUUUUGGUGGAUAAUGUAUAGAAUUAUUGGUUUAAUCUAAAAUUUACGGAUUGAUUAAUAAAUAGUCCAGUAUUUAUUAAUUGCGGUUGAAUAAAUUUAUACAAAGUCUGUUCUUAAGGGAGGUUAUUGUUUUAUAUAAGGUAGGUAGAAUUAUAAUUAGUAAUGAGAUAGAAUCUUAUUGGGGUUAAAUUAAAUAAUACUUAGGGUUAGGGAUAAAAUCUGUAGAACCUAAGGGGAAUACUAAUGGCGAAGGCUAUUUUUCCACUAAAGAUUGACGCUGAGGAACGAAGGUUAGGAUAGGAAAAAGGAUUAGAUACCCAAGUACCCCUUUCUGUCAACGAUGAAUGGUGUUUUCUAGGAUUCCGAGAGAACUAGUUUUUAUGCUAACGCGAUAACCAUUCCGCCUUGUGAGUACGGCUGCAAAGCUGAAAACAAAAAAAUUAGUCGGUCUCGAAGCAAACGAAGUGAAGCAUGUUAUUUAAUACGAUAAUCCGCGU